UACGUAGGGGGCAAGCGUUAUCCGGAUUUACUGGGUGUAAAGGGAGCGUAGACGGCUGUGCAAGUCUGGAGUGAAAGGCAUGGGCUCAACCUGUGGACUGCUUUGGAAACUGGCGGGCUAGAGUGCGGGAGGGGUAAGCGGAAUUCCUAGUGUAGCGGUGAAAUGCGUAGAUAUUAGGAGGAACACCGGUGGCGAAGGCGGCUUACUGGACGAUGACUGACGCUGAGGCUCGAAAGCGUGGGGAGCAAACAGG
Molecule: ribosomal RNA, 253 nt
Filed under: uncultured Lachnospiraceae bacterium
Lineage: Bacteria; Bacillati; Bacillota; Clostridia; Lachnospirales; Lachnospiraceae
Description: partial 16S ribosomal RNA
Rfam family: Bacterial small subunit ribosomal RNA
Source: RNAcentral